UAUGCAAGUCGAGCGGAAAGGCCUUCGGGGUACUCGAGCGGCGAACGGGUGAGUAACACGUGAGCAACCUGCCCCAGGCUUUGGGAUAACCCCGGGAAACCGGGGCUAAUACCGAAUAUGACCUUGCACCGCAUGGUGUUUGGUGGAAAGUUUUUCGGCUUGGGAUGGGCUCGCGGCCUAUCAGCUUGUUGGUGGGGUGAUGGCCUACCAAGGCGACGACGGGUAGCCGGCCUGAGAGGGCGACCGGCCACACUGGGACUGAGACACGGCCCAGACUCCUACGGGAGGCAGCAGUGGGGAAUAUUGCACAAUGGGCGGAAGCCUGAUGCAGCGACGCCGCGUGAGGGAUGACGGCCUUCGGGUUGUAAACCUCUUUCAGCAGGGACGAAGCGUAAGUGACGGUACCUGCAGAAGAAGCGCCGGCCAACUACGUGCCAGCAGCCGCGGUAAGACGUAGGGCGCGAGCGUUGUCCGGAUUUAUUGGGCGUAAAGAGCUCGUAGGCGGCUUGUCGCGUCGACUGUGAAAACCCGCAGCUCAACUGCGGGCCUGCAGUCGAUACGGGCAGGCUAGAGUUCGGUAGGGGAGACUGGAAUUCCUGGUGUAGCGGUGAAAUGCGCAGAUAUCAGGAGGAACACCGGUGGCGAAGGCGGGUCUCUGGGCCGAUACUGACGCUGAGGAGCGAAAGCGUGGGGAGCGAACAGGAUUAGAUACCCUGGUAGUCCACGCUGUAAACGUUGGGCGCUAGGUGUGGGGGGCUCUCCGGUUCCCUGUGCCGCAGCUAACGCAUAGCGCCCCGCCUGGGGAGUACGGCGCAGGCUAAAACUCAAAGGAAUUGAGGGGCCCGCACAAGCGCGACAUGAUUAUUAUGCAACGCAUUCGGGUUGAGCCGCAAAGUGUUGGGG
This 903-nucleotide ribosomal RNA is filed under the name Micromonospora sp. enrichment culture clone 11W_2. Its description in RNAcentral is "bacterial SSU rRNA". It matches the Rfam family "Bacterial small subunit ribosomal RNA", at positions 54 to 1347 of the family's 1533-position model. Lineage: Bacteria; Bacillati; Actinomycetota; Actinomycetes; Micromonosporales; Micromonosporaceae. The record is from RNAcentral.